Long non-coding RNA from Sinocyclocheilus anshuiensis, 256 nucleotides. RefSeq lists it as uncharacterized. The record is from RefSeq and is a predicted model, not a curated record. Lineage: Eukaryota; Metazoa; Chordata; Actinopteri; Cypriniformes; Cyprinidae. The transcript has 4 exons.
CGGGUGCUCGAACUUUUCUUGGAGCCCUGUUCAUGAAGUUUAACAAGAUCUCUCUGUUUAAAAAUCAGCUUGAUUUAGAUUCCAGACGCUGCGGGGUGAGACCUCCGGGGUUCUGCGACCCUCCUCAGGCUCUGCUGGUUAAAGCUAUCAUUUCCAGAGGCAGCAUAUCAGAGCAAACAUUAAUUGGAGGAUCCUUUACCGUUGCAACCCCCCUGCUGAAGACCCUUUCAUACAGAUGUUGGGACUCGCACGGCAC